Small nuclear RNA from Cavia aperea (Brazilian guinea pig), 113 nucleotides. The record is from Ensembl. NCBI's taxonomy places the organism in Eukaryota, Metazoa, Chordata, Mammalia, Rodentia, Caviidae.
GUGCUUGCUUUGGUAGCACAUAUUUUAUGCUAAAAUUAAACUGAUACAUAGAAGGCUAGAAUGGCCCAUGCUCAAGGAUGAUGUACCAAAAAAGUGAAGAUUCACUAUGAAUU